UGACACCUUUGAUUUUCGCGCAAUCAGC
This 28-nucleotide small RNA is filed under the name Bombyx mori (domestic silkworm). RNAcentral's name for it is "ovarian small RNA-31345". The record is from RNAcentral. Lineage: Eukaryota; Metazoa; Arthropoda; Insecta; Lepidoptera; Bombycidae.